AGAGUUUGAUCCUGGCUCAGAACGAACGCUGGCGGCGUGCCUAACACAUGCAAGUCGAACGAGAAAGUUUCUUCGGAAACGAGUAAAGUGGCGCACGGGUGAGUAACACGUGAAUAAUCUGCCUUCGAGACUGGAAUAACUUGACGAAAGUUAAGCUAAUACCAGAUAAGACCACGCUUCACAAGGAGUGCGGGAAAAGGGAUCUCAAAUCCUGCUCGUAGAUGAGUUCGCGUACCAUUAGCUUGUUGGUGAGAUAAAAGCUCACCAAGGCGACGAUGGUUAGCCGGCCUGAGAGGGUGAUCGGCCACACUGGAACUGAGACACGGUCCAGACUCCUACGGGAGGCAGCAGUGGGGAAUCUUGCGCAAUGGGCGAAAGCCUGACGCAGCAACGCCGCGUGAGCGAUGAAGGCCUUCGGGUCGUAAAGCUCUGUCAAGUGGGAAGAACACAAUGACGGUACCACUAGAGGAAGCCCCGGCUAACUUCGUGCCAGCAGCCGCGGUAAUACGAAGGGGGCAAGCGUUGUUCGGAAUUAUUGGGCGUAAAGCGUAUGUAGGUGGUUUAUCAAGUCAGACGUGCAAGCCCUCGGCUCAACCGAGGAAUUGCGUUUGAAACUGAUAGACUUGAGUGUAGGAGAGGAAAGCGGAAUUCCCAGUGUAGCGGUGAAAUGCGUUGAUAUUGGGAAGAACACCGGUGGCGAAAGCAGCUUUCUGGCCUGCUACUGACACUGAGAUACGAAAGCCAGGGGAGCAAGGGGGAUUAGAUACCCCCGUAGUC
This 777-nucleotide ribosomal RNA is filed under the name uncultured bacterium. Its description in RNAcentral is "bacterial SSU rRNA". It matches the Rfam family "Bacterial small subunit ribosomal RNA", at positions 8 to 795 of the family's 1533-position model. The record is from RNAcentral.